This 399-nucleotide ribosomal RNA is filed under the name uncultured bacterium. RNAcentral's name for it is "partial 16S ribosomal RNA". It matches the Rfam family "Bacterial small subunit ribosomal RNA", at positions 976 to 1374 of the family's 1533-position model. The record is from RNAcentral.
AAGGCUUGACAUGAACCGGAAACACCUGAAAACGAGUGCCCCCCUUGCGGUCUGUUUACCGGGGGUGCAUGGUUGUCCUCCGCUCCUGGCCUGGGAUGUUGGGUUAAGUCCCGCAACGAGCGCAACCCUCUGUCUAUGUUGCCCGCGCGUAAUGGGGGGGACUCCUAGGAAAAUGGCGGGGUCAACUCCGAAGAAGGGGGGGACUACCUCCAAUCAUCAUGGCCCUUAUGUCUUGGGCUUCACGCAUGCUACAAUGGCCGGUACAAAGGGUUGCGAUACUGUGAGGGGGAACUAAUCCCCAAAAGCCGGACUCAAUUCGGAUUGGGGUCUGCAACUCCACCCCCUGAAAUCCGAAUCCCUAGUAAUCCCAGAUCAACAACGCUGCGGUGAAUACGUUCC